CCUACGGGAGGCAGCAGUGAGGAAUAUUGGACAAUGGGCGCAAGCCUGAUCCAGCCAUGCCGCGUGCAGGAUGACGGUCCUAUGGAUUGUAAACUGCUUUUAUACAGGAAGAAACCACCCUACGUGUAGAGUCUUGACGGUACUGUAAGAAUAAGGAUCGGCUAACUCCGUGCCAGCAGCCGCGGUAAUACGGAGGAUCCAAGCGUUAUCCGGAAUCAUUGGGUUUAAAGGGUCCGUAGGCGGUUUAGUAAGUCAGUGGUGAAAGCCCAUCGCUCAACGGUGGAACGGCCAUUGAUACUGCUAGACUUGAAUUAUUAGGAAGUAACUAGAAUAUGUAGUGUAGCGGUGAAAUGCUUAGAGAUUACAUGGAAUACCAAUUGCGAAGGCAGGUUACUACUAAUUGAUUGACGCUGAUGGACGAAAGCGUGGGUAGCGAACAGGAUUAGAUACCCUGGUAGUCCACGCCGUAAACGAUGGAUACUAGCUGUUGGGGGCAACUUCAGUGGCGUAGACGAAGUAGAGUAAGUAUACCACCGUCGGGAGGUACGGAACGACGAGUUAGUAACGUACAAGUAGAAGUUAGUACGGCGUGAGACGUAGCCGACGGACGACGACGAGGGAGGAGGG
Molecule: ribosomal RNA, 627 nt
Filed under: uncultured bacterium
Lineage: Bacteria
Description: bacterial SSU rRNA
Rfam family: Bacterial small subunit ribosomal RNA (bases 1-535)
Source: RNAcentral